Molecule: ribosomal RNA, 819 nt
Filed under: uncultured marine bacterium
Lineage: Bacteria
Description: bacterial SSU rRNA
Rfam family: Bacterial small subunit ribosomal RNA
Source: RNAcentral
AACGAACGCUGGCGGCAGGCCUAACACAUGCAAGUCGAGCGCGCCUUCGGGUGAGCGGCGGACGGGUUAGUAACGCGUGGGAACGUACCCUUUUCUACGGAAUAGCCUUUGGAAACGAAGAGUAAUACCGUAUACGCCCUUUGGGGGAAAGAUUUAUCGGAGAAGGAUCGGCCCGCGUUAGAUUAGAUAGUUGGUGGGGUAACGGCCUACCAAGUCUACGAUCUAUAGCUGGUUUUAGAGGAUGAUCAGCAACACUGGGACUGAGACACGGCCCAGACUCCUACGGGAGGCAGCAGUGGGGAAUCUUAGACAAUGGGCGCAAGCCUGAUCUAGCCAUGCCGCGUGAGUGAUGAAGGCCUUAGGGUCGUAAAGCUCUUUCGCCUGUGAUGAUAAUGACAGUAGCAGGUAAAGAAACCCCGGCUAACUCCGUGCCAGCAGCCGCGGUAAUACGGAGGGGGUUAGCGUUGUUCGGAAUUACUGGGCGUAAAGCGCACGUAGGCGGAUUGGAAAGUUGGGGGUGAAAUCCCGGGGCUCAACCCCGGAACUGCCUCCAAAACUAUCAGUCUAGAGUUCGAGAGAGGUGAGUGGAAUUCCAAGUGUAGAGGUGAAAUUCGUAGAUAUUUGGAGGAACACCAGUGGCGAAGGCGGCUCACUGGCUCGAUACUGACGCUGAGGUGCGAAAGUGUGGGGAGCAAACAGGAUUAGAUACCCUGGUAGUCCACACCGUAAACGAUGAAUGCCAGUCGUCGGGCAGUAUACUGUUCGGUGACACACCUAACGGAUUAAGCAUUCCGCCUGGGGGAGUACGGUCGCAAGAUU